UGGGGAAUAUUGCACAAUGGGCGCAAGCCUGAUGCAGCCAUGCCGCGUGUGUGAAGAAGGCCUUUGGGUUGUAAAGCACUUUCAGCGGGGAGGAAGGCGUUAAGGUUAAUAACCUUGGCGACUGACGUUACCCGCAGAAGAAGCACCGGCUAACUUCGUGCCAGCAGCCGCGGUAAUACGGAGGGUGCAAGCGUUAAUCGGAAUUACUGGGCGUAAAGCGCACGCAGGCGGUCUGUCAAGUCGGAUGUGAAAUCCCCGGGCUCAACCUGGGAACUGCAUUCGAAACUGGCAGGCUGGGGUCUUGUAGAGGGGGGUAGAAUUCCAGGUGUAGCGGUGAAAUGCGUAGAGAUCUGGAGGAAUACCGGUGGCGAAGGCGGCCCCCUGGACAAAGACUGACGCUCAGGUGCGAAAGCGUGGGGAGCAAACAGG
Molecule: ribosomal RNA, 429 nt
Filed under: Chloroflexota bacterium
Lineage: Bacteria; Bacillati; Chloroflexota
Description: Chloroflexi bacterium partial 16S ribosomal RNA
Rfam family: Bacterial small subunit ribosomal RNA
Source: RNAcentral